ACGAGCUGUGGUGUCUUAAAGUAAUCCUCUCCUCACUCCCUCGCCUCUGCCUGCUCCUCCAGGAGACACUUCUCUCUCUCCCGCCCGGCUACAGCAUGCAGCUCCCGGUCCGAGUCCUUCUGGUGCUAGGUCUGCUGCUGCUAUCCCAGGUCUUCGUGUCUGUCCACUGCCAAGAGGAGGAGGAGGGAAACCAGGAAGAGGAGCAGCUGCCCCAACAGGAGGAGCUGGAGAUGCAGCAGGUGGAGGAGGUGCAGCAGGUGGAGGAGGGGCAGCAGG
Gadus morhua (Atlantic cod) is the source of this 276-nucleotide long non-coding RNA. RefSeq lists it as uncharacterized. NCBI's taxonomy places the organism in Eukaryota, Metazoa, Chordata, Actinopteri, Gadiformes, Gadidae. The transcript is spliced from 3 exons. The record is from RefSeq and is a predicted model, not a curated record.